GGCUGUAGCUCAGUGGUAGAGCCCUUGCCUAGCAUGUGCGAAGCCCUGGGUUGGAUCCUCAGCACCA
RNAcentral lists this transfer RNA (67 nucleotides) under Marmota monax (woodchuck). Its description in RNAcentral is "tRNA.Ala". The record is from RNAcentral. Lineage: Eukaryota; Metazoa; Chordata; Mammalia; Rodentia; Sciuridae.